Molecule: ribosomal RNA, 250 nt
Filed under: uncultured bacterium
Lineage: Bacteria
Description: partial 16S ribosomal RNA
Rfam family: Bacterial small subunit ribosomal RNA
Source: RNAcentral
UACGAAGGGUGCAAGCGUUGCUCGGAAUUAUUGGGCGUAAAGGGUAGGUAGGUGGUCUUAUUUGUCGUAGGUGAAAUCCUUGGGCUCAACCCGAGACGUGCCUACGAAACGGUAAGACUAGAGUGAUAGAGGGGUUUGUGGAAUUCCCGGUGUAGCGGUGAAAUGCGUAGAGAUCGGGAGGAACACCAGCGGCGAAGGCGGCAAACUGGAUAUCAACUGACACUCAACUACGAAAGCGUGGGGAUCAAAC